GCUAGGUGCAGUGGCGCACGCCUGUAAUCCCAGCGGCUCAGGAGGCUGAGGCGGGAGAAUUGUGAAUUCAAAGCCAGCCUCAGUAAGAGCGAGGCACUAAGCAACUCAGCAGGACCCUGUCUCUC
This 125-nucleotide small RNA is filed under the name Marmota monax (woodchuck). The record is from RNAcentral. Lineage: Eukaryota; Metazoa; Chordata; Mammalia; Rodentia; Sciuridae.